RNAcentral lists this ribosomal RNA (875 nucleotides) under Pseudomonas oryzihabitans. RNAcentral describes it as "bacterial SSU rRNA". It matches the Rfam family "Bacterial small subunit ribosomal RNA", at positions 33 to 905 of the family's 1533-position model. Lineage: Bacteria; Pseudomonadati; Pseudomonadota; Gammaproteobacteria; Pseudomonadales; Pseudomonadaceae. The record is from RNAcentral.
GGGCUGGGCUGCAGCUACACAUGCAGUCGAGCGGAUGAGAAGAGCUUGCUCUUCGAUUCAGCGGCGGACGGGUGAGUAAUGCCUAGGAAUCUGCCUGGUAGUGGGGGACAACGUUUCGAAAGGAACGCUAAUACCGCAUACGUCCUACGGGAGAAAGCAGGGGACCUUCGGGCCUUGCGCUAUCAGAUGAGCCUAGGUCGGAUUAGCUAGUUGGUGGGGUAAUGGCUCACCAAGGCGACGAUCCGUAACUGGUCUGAGAGGAUGAUCAGUCACACUGGAACUGAGACACGGUCCAGACUCCUACGGGAGGCAGCAGUGGGGAAUAUUGGACAAUGGGCGAAAGCCUGAUCCAGCCAUGCCGCGUGUGUGAAGAAGGUCUUCGGAUUGUAAAGCACUUUAAGUUGGGAGGAAGGGCAGUAAGCGAAUACCUUGCUGUUUUGACGUUACCGACAGAAUAAGCACCGGCUAACUCUGUGCCAGCAGCCGCGGUAAUACAGAGGGUGCAAGCGUUAAUCGGAAUUACUGGGCGUAAAGCGCGCGUAGGUGGUUUGUUAAGUUGAAUGUGAAAGCCCCGGGCUCAACCUGGGAACUGCAUCCAAAACUGGCAAGCUAGAGUACGGUAGAGGGUGGUGGAAUUUCCUGUGUAGCGGUGAAAUGCGUAGAUAUAGGAAGGAACACCAGUGGCGAAGGCGACCACCUGGACUGAUACUUGACACUGAGGUGCGAAAGCGUGGGGAGCAAACAGGAUUAGAUACCCUGGGUAGUCCACGCCGUAACGAUGUCAACUAGCCGUUGGAAUCUUUGAGAUUUUAGUGGCGCAGCUAACGCAUUAAGUUGACCGCCUUGGGAGUACGGCCGCAAGGUUAAACUCAAAU